Molecule: ribosomal RNA, 468 nt
Filed under: uncultured bacterium
Lineage: Bacteria
Description: bacterial SSU rRNA
Rfam family: Bacterial small subunit ribosomal RNA
Source: RNAcentral
ACUCCUACGGGAGGCAGCAGUGGGGAAGUAUUGCACAAUGGGCGCAAGCCUGAUGCAGCCAUGCCGCGUGUAUGAAGAAGGCCUUCGGGUUGUAAAGUACUUUCAGCAGUGAGGAAGGUGGGUAUGUUAAUAGCAUACUCAUUUGACGUUAGCUGCAGAAGAAGCACCGGCUAACUCCGUGCCAGCAGCCGCGGUAAUACGGAGGGUGCGAGCGUUAAUCGGAAUUACUGGGCGUAAAGCGCAUGCAGGUGGUUUGUUAAGUCAGAUGUGAAAGCCCGGGGCUCAACCUCGGAAUUGCAUUUGAAACUGGCAAACUAGAGUACUGUAGAGGGGGGUAGAAUUUCAGGUGUAGCGGUGAAAUGCGUAGAGAUCUGAAGGAAUACCGGUGGCGAAGGCGGCCCCCUGGACAGAUACUGACACUCAGAUGCGAAAGCGUGGGGAGCAAACAGGAUUAGAUACCCUGGAGGC